GAUGAAGAACGUAGCGAAAUGCGAUAAGUAAUGUGAAUUGCAGAAUUCAGUGAAUCAUCGAAUCUUUGAACGCACAUUGCGCCCGCUGGUACUCCGGCGGGCACGCCUGUCCGAGCGUCAUUUCAACCCUCAAGCCCUCCUUCGGGAUGGGCCUGGUGUUGGGGCUCGGCCGCCAUCUCCGGCGGCCGUCCCCUAAAUACAGUGGCGGUCACGUCGCGACUCCUUUGCGUAGUAGAAACACCUCGCUCCGGAUAGCAACGCGGUCCACGCCGUAAAAUCCCCAAUUUUCAAUGGUUGACCUCGGAUCAGGUGGGAAUACCCGCUGAACUUAAGCAUAUCAAUAAGCGGAGGA
RNAcentral lists this unclassified non-coding RNA (352 nucleotides) under soil metagenome. RNAcentral describes it as "partial contains 5.8S ribosomal RNA, internal transcribed spacer 2, and large subunit ribosomal RNA". The stretch from base 1 to 120 matches the Rfam family "5.8S ribosomal RNA", at positions 35 to 154 of the family's 154-position model. The record is from RNAcentral.